AUGGACCAGCGGGCGGCCUGCGGCGGCGAGGGAGGGGGCGGCCUGCGGCGGCGCCCGUACAAGGGCGUGAGGCGGCGGCAGUGGGGGAAGUGGGUGUCGGAGAUCCGGGUGCCCGGGACGCGGGAGCGCCUGUGGCUCGGCUCCUACGCCACCGCCGAGGCGGCCGCCGUCGCGCACGACGCCGCUGUCUGCCUCCUCCGCGGCGGCGCCGGCGGCCUCAACUUCCCGGGCCGCGCGGCCGCCUACGGCCGCGUCCUCCACCACGGCGGCGCGGGCCAGCAGCUGUCCCCACGGUCGGUGCAGCGCGUGGCGUCCGACGCCGGCAUGGCCGCCGACGCGCAGCUCGUGGAGCUGCGCGAGCGUGUUCCCGCGCCGCCCGGCCAGGAGACGGCGCCGGACGGUGGCAUUGGCGCAGUGCAUGGUGGUGCGGGUGCCGGAGAGCAAGUGGCCUACGGUGGUACGAGGAGCUGCAGCCCCGGCGGCGAGCAGCUUGUCUAUGGGGAGCUGAGUGUGGACGACAUAGAGAUCGUGACCAUGUUGCAGUCAUUGUAG
This 552-nucleotide ribosomal RNA is filed under the name Triticum aestivum (bread wheat). RNAcentral describes it as "partial small subunit ribosomal RNA". The record is from RNAcentral. Lineage: Eukaryota; Viridiplantae; Streptophyta; Magnoliopsida; Poales; Poaceae.